GAUCAUUAUUGAAACAUUGUAAAGGAAGGUUGAGCUGGCUCUUCACGGGCAUGUGCUUGCCUUUCUUUCAAUCUUCAUCCACCUGUGCACUUUUUGUAGGGAGCUUUGAGAAUAGGACCUCUCGCGGGGUCCUUAGUAUUAGGCUCUCUAUGUCUUUACACACUCUUGAAUGUAUGUCGUUGAAUGUCUUUUACGGGGACUUAAUUGACCCUUUAAAAACUAUACAACUUUCAGCAACGGAUCUCUUGGCUCUCGCAUCGAUGAAGAACGCAGCGAAAUGCGAUAAGUAAUGUGAAUUGCAGAAUUCAGUGAAUCAUCGAAUCUUUGAACGCACCUUGCGCCUCUUGGUAUUCCGAGAGGCAUGCCUGUUUGAGUGUCAUUAAAUUCUCAACUUCAAAAGCUUUUGCUUAUUGAAGCUUGGAUGUGGAGGCUUUGCUGGCUCUUCUUCUAGAGUCGGCUCCUCUGAAAUGCAUUAGUGGAAACUUUUUGCAAUCCGCAUUGGUGUGAUAAUUAUCUACGCUUAUGUUGUGGUUGCAGCUCUUUACUGAGUUUAGUAUCUGCUUCAAACCGUCCUAAGUUACUGGACAACUUGAACCUUUUGACCUCAAAUCAGGUAGGACUACCCGCUGAACUUAAGCAUAUCAAUAAGCGGAGGAAAAGAAACUAACAAGGAUUCCCCUAGUAACUGCGAGUGAAGAGGGAAAAGCUCAAAUUUAAAAUCUGGCAGUCUU
Molecule: ribosomal RNA, 731 nt
Filed under: Marasmius ruforotula
Lineage: Eukaryota; Fungi; Basidiomycota; Agaricomycetes; Agaricales; Marasmiaceae
Description: eukaryotic LSU rRNA
Rfam family: 5.8S ribosomal RNA (bases 226-379)
Source: RNAcentral